AUUGAACGCUGGCGGCAGGCCUAACACAUGCAAGUCGGGCGAGACGCGGACGGGUGAGUAAUGUAUGGGGAUCUUCCUGAUGGCUGGGGAUAACUACUGGAAACGGUUGCUAAUACCGCAUACCAUCCGCUGGGCCCCUAUGGGAUUAGCUAGGUGGGAAGGUAACGGCUUACCUAGGCGACGAUCCCUAGCUGGUCUGAGAGGAUGAUCAGCCACACUGGGACUGAGACACGGCCCAGACUCCUACGGGAGGCAGCAGUGGGGAAUAUUGCACAAUGGGCGCAAGCCUGAUGCAGCCAUGCCGCGUGUAUGAAGAAGGCCUUCGGGUUGUAAAGUACUUUCAGUCGGGAGGCGUUACCGACAGAAGAAGCACCGGCUAACUCCGUGCCAGCAGCCGCGGUAAUUC
This 406-nucleotide ribosomal RNA is filed under the name uncultured bacterium. RNAcentral describes it as "partial 16S ribosomal RNA". It matches the Rfam family "Bacterial small subunit ribosomal RNA", at positions 30 to 526 of the family's 1533-position model. The record is from RNAcentral.